Long non-coding RNA from Athalia rosae (coleseed sawfly), 1068 nucleotides. RefSeq lists it as uncharacterized. The transcript is spliced from 3 exons. NCBI's taxonomy places the organism in Eukaryota, Metazoa, Arthropoda, Insecta, Hymenoptera, Athaliidae. The record is from RefSeq and is a predicted model, not a curated record.
AUCAUACUUGGUUGGUUUUAAAAUAAAUACCAGAAGAGAUGAUCACUGCUAUUCGUUUCAUUCUUCCAGGUCGAACUGUAUUUGUCCCAGGGGAGAAUGCAAAGCUGAAACGACAGAGUGCUUGCGGUAUACGUCAGAUGUUAUUAUUACACCCCUGUGUACCUUGGCGGAAAGUCAGUGCCAGUGUGUCGCUGAGCAAGGUCCAGCUGCCCACCGCGAGCAUGUUGUUGCUCUGCUUCUGAAAACGACACAGAGAGUUUGAGAAAGAGAAAUCAUACUUCCUAGUACAUGUAUCAUUUCAAGAACUGCAGUCAUUUCACAACCCAUGGAUAUGAAAUGCAAAUCAGCUGGAGACUUGAAGUCCUAUACAAAAAGAAUCGUAACCACAGGAUUCGAGAUGCGUACAUCAACUUUCGUAGAUUUCAUUACAGCUGUAUGCCUUCCAAGCAUACUAUUAUGCCGGUCUUCACAUUCGGCAUAUGAAGCUCAAGUGCCCGUCAAAAUGUCCUUGAUUUUUCACUUUUUCGAUCGAUUAAUUGGCGAUAACUCGAUCAAUUUCAUAGAUGAAAUUAUUUUGCUUGUAGAUUCGGAUUCCUGAGAUCAAAAUACAUGAGGAUAGCGUAAGGAACCCUUGAAAAAAAAAAUCUCUCCUUUCAUCUCAGAUUUUGAGAAAAUUCCAAGGCUAUAGGCUUACCGUUUUUUUCGGCAAAAAAGUGAAGUAUUCCCCAAUAUAAUUCUAGGACGCUUUUUCUACGUAAAAAAGCGUACCGAACAAGAAGCCGUCAAUCAAAUUGAGCUGGCGUAAGAUCCCAUCGAGAUUCGGAUUCCAGAGAUCAAAAUACAUCGGAAUAACAUAGAAAUUCUCAUGAAUAAAAUUCUCUCCAGAUACUCCGGAAAGAUGUUCCUAGACCUGGUGCCUCAUCAUGUCCAGGCCUUCAUUUCUGUGUAAUAAAUCAUACUUUUACAGGGUACAAUGUAGACAUAAGCUAGUUUCAUGCUGGCCUGAUUUUAUGCAAUCAUAUGUAUUCAAUCCCACUUCUAUCAAUACAUUCACUGCAAUUACCACAA